AAUCACCGAAGUUAAGCAAUCUCGAGCCUGGUGAAUACUUUGAUGGGUGACCGCUUGCGAAUACCAAGUGUUGAA
Non-coding RNA from Acanthosepion pharaonis, 75 nucleotides. The record is from the annotation of a GenBank genome assembly. NCBI's taxonomy places the organism in Eukaryota, Metazoa, Mollusca, Cephalopoda, Sepiida, Sepiidae.